AUUGAACGCUGGCGGCAGGCCUAACACAUGCAAGUCGAGCGAGCGGCGGACGGGUGAGUAAUGUAUGGGGACUGCCCGAUAGAGGGGGAUAACUACUGGAAACGGUGGCUAAUACCGCAUACUAUCGGAUAACCCAUAUGGGAUUAGCUAGUAGGUGGGGUAAAGGCUCACCUAGGCGACGAUCUCUAGCUGGUCUGAGAGGAUGAUCCGCCCCACUGGGUAUGAGAAACGGCCCCAGAUCCUACGGGGGGAGGCAGUGGGAAUAUUGGACCAUGGGCGCAAGCCUGAUGCAGCCAUGCCGCGUGUAUGAAGAAGGCCUUAGGGUUGUAAAGUACUUUCAGCGGGGAGGCGUUACCCGCAGAAGAAGCACCGGCUAACUCCGUGCCAGCAGCCGCGGUAAUAC
RNAcentral lists this ribosomal RNA (403 nucleotides) under uncultured bacterium. RNAcentral describes it as "partial 16S ribosomal RNA". It matches the Rfam family "Bacterial small subunit ribosomal RNA", at positions 30 to 526 of the family's 1533-position model. The record is from RNAcentral.